CUGCAGUCGAGCGCAGGAGCCGUCUGAACCCUUCGGGGGGACGACGGUGGAAUGAGCGGCGGACGGGUGAGUAACACGUAAAGAACCUGCCCAUAGGUCUGGGAUAACCACGAGAAAUCGGGGCUAAUACCGGAUGUGUCAUCGGACCGCAUGGUCCGCUGAUGAAAGGCGCUCCGGCGUCGCCCAUGGAUGGCUUUGCGGUGCAUUAGCUAGUUGGUGGGGUAACGGCCCACCAAGGCGACGAUGCAUAGCCGACCUGAGAGGGUGAUCGGCCACACUGGGACUGAGACACGGCCCAGACUCCUACGGGAGGCAGCAGUAGGGAAUCUUCCACAAUGGACGAAAGUCUGAUGGAGCAACGCCGCGUGAACGAUGAAGGCUUUCGGGUCGUAAAGUUCUGUUGUAAGGGAAGAACAAGUGCCGCAGGCAAUGGCGGCACCUUGACGGUACCUUGCGAGAAAGCCACGGCUAACUACGUGCCAGCAGCCGCGGUAAUACGUAGGUGGCAAGCGUUGUCCGGAAUUAUUGGGCGUAAAGCGCGCGCAGGCGGCCUCUUAAGUCUGAUGUGAAAGCCCCCGGCUCAACCGGGGAGGGCCAUUGGAAACUGGGAGGCUUGAGUA
RNAcentral lists this ribosomal RNA (620 nucleotides) under Exiguobacterium sp. TR8T2. RNAcentral describes it as "bacterial SSU rRNA". It matches the Rfam family "Bacterial small subunit ribosomal RNA", at positions 55 to 648 of the family's 1533-position model. The record is from RNAcentral. Lineage: Bacteria; Bacillati; Bacillota; Bacilli; Caryophanales.